AACGUGGGGCUAACAUGCAGUCGAGCGAGAACCUUCGGGUGUUUAGCGGCGGACGGGUGAGUAACACGUGGGGAACCUGCCAUACAGAGGGGGAUAGCCUUUCGAAAGGAAGAGUAAUACCGCAUAAAGUCCAAAAUUCGCAUGAAUUUUGGAGCAAAGGAGAAAUCCGCUGUAUGAUGGACCCGCGGCGCAUUAAUUAGUUGGUGAGGUAAUGGCUCACCAAGACGACGAUGCGUAGCCGACCUGAGAGGGUGAACGGCCACAUUGGAACUGAGAGACGGUCCAGACUCCUACGGGAGGCAGCAGUGGGGAAUAUUGCACAAUGGGGGAAACCUUGAUGCAGCAACGCCGCGUGAGUGAAGGAGGCCUUCGGGUUGUAAAGCUCUGUUAUACGGGAAGAUAAUGACUGUACCGUAUGAGGAAGCCACGGCUAACUACGUGCCAGCAGCCGCGGUAAUACGUACGUGGCGAGCGUUGUCCGGAUUUACUGGGCGUAAAGGAUGCGUAGGCGGAUAAUUAAGUGAGAUGUGAAAUACCCGGGCUUAACCUGGGGGGUGCAUUUCAAACUGGUUGUCUAGAGUACAGGAGAGGAAAGUGGAAUUUCUAGUGUAGCGGUGAAAUGCGUAGAUAUUAGGAAGAACACCAGUGGCGAAGGCGGCUUUCUGGACUGUUACAGACGCUGAUGCAUGAAAGCAUGGGUAGCGAACAGGAUUAGAUACCCUGGUAGUCCAUGCCGUAAACGAUGAAUACUAGGUGUAGGAGGUAACGAGACCUUCUGUGCCGCCGUAAACACAUUAAGUAUUCCGCCUGGGGAGUACGAUUGCAAGAUUAAAACUCAAAGGAAUUGACGGGGGCCCGCACAAGCAGCGGAGCAUGUGGGUUAAAUCGGAAGCACGCGAAGAAACUUUCCUAAACUUGACAUAUCCUGAAUUACCCUGUAAAAGG
RNAcentral lists this ribosomal RNA (945 nucleotides) under Clostridium sp. SK081008. RNAcentral's name for it is "bacterial SSU rRNA". It matches the Rfam family "Bacterial small subunit ribosomal RNA", at positions 41 to 1010 of the family's 1533-position model. The record is from RNAcentral. Lineage: Bacteria; Bacillati; Bacillota; Clostridia; Eubacteriales; Clostridiaceae.